This 253-nucleotide ribosomal RNA is filed under the name uncultured bacterium. RNAcentral's name for it is "partial 16S ribosomal RNA". It matches the Rfam family "Bacterial small subunit ribosomal RNA", at positions 527 to 779 of the family's 1533-position model. The record is from RNAcentral.
CGAAGGGGCUAGCGUUGCUCGGAAUUACUGGGCGUAAAGGGCGCGUAGGCGGCUUGGUUAGUCAGGCGUGAAAUUCCCGGGCUUAACCUGGGGACUGCGCUUGAUACUGCUGGGCUUGAGGGUGGAAGAGGGUCGUGGAAUUCCCAGUGUAGAGGUGAAAUUCGUAGAUAUUGGGAAGAACACCGGUGGCGAAGGCGGCGACCUGGUCCAUUACUGACGCUGAGGCGCGACAGCGUGGGGAGCAAACAGGAUU